AUGAUAUUCUUACAUACAGGAGAAUAUGAUGUCCUCCUUCAUCUUAGAUGCUACGGUGAUACGAGCUUCGAGGUCAUUGGAUAUGGGAUCCAAGGGCAUCUGAGUAGUUUUUGUACAAAUUAUGUGCAAUUCUCAAACUCAUCAAGGUUUCCUAUAAAAAUAUUAAGACAUCAUGUGAGCUGCUAUAUCUCAGAUCUACAAGCUCCAAGAAACUCGUAUCGGCAUAUAGCAUCUAAGUAUGGGGGCACAUGCUAUUCUCUUGGGGAGAGGGGUGGUGGGUGCACAACCAAUCGGUGGUUGGGAGGGUGGGGACAAAUAUAA
RNAcentral lists this ribosomal RNA (321 nucleotides) under Triticum aestivum (bread wheat). Its description in RNAcentral is "partial small subunit ribosomal RNA". Lineage: Eukaryota; Viridiplantae; Streptophyta; Magnoliopsida; Poales; Poaceae. The record is from RNAcentral.